RNAcentral lists this ribosomal RNA (497 nucleotides) under uncultured bacterium. RNAcentral describes it as "partial 16S ribosomal RNA". It matches the Rfam family "Bacterial small subunit ribosomal RNA", at positions 28 to 507 of the family's 1533-position model. The record is from RNAcentral.
GAUGAACGCUGGCGGCGUGCCUAAUACAUGCAAGUCGAGCGAACAGACGAGGAGCUUGCUCCUCUGACGUUAGCGGCGGACGGGUGAGUAACACGUGGAUAACCUACCUAUAAGACUGGGAUAACUUCGGGAAACCGGAGCUAAUACCGGAUAAUAUAUUGAACCGCAUGGUUCAAUAGUGAAAGACGGUUUUGCUGUCACUUAUAGAUGGAUCCGCGCCGCAUUAGCUAGUUGGUAAGGUAACGGCUUACCAAGGCAACGAUGCGUAGCCGACCUGAGAGGGUGAUCGGCCACACUGGAACUGAGACACGGUCCAGACUCCUACGGGAGGCAGCAGUAGGGAAUCUUCCGCAAUGGGCGAAAGCCUGACGGAGCAACGCCGCGUGAGUGAUGAAGGUCUUCGGAUCGUAAAACUGUGUUAUUAGGGAAGAACAUAUGUGUAAGUAACUGUGCACAUCUUGACGGUACCUAAUCAGAAAGCCACGGCUAACUACGUG